CUAAUACCGGAUAUGACCUGCAGUUGCAUGACUGUGGGUGGAAAGAUUUAUCGGUGCGAGAUGAGCCCGCGGCCUAUCAGCUUGUUGGUGGGGUAAUGGCCUACCAAGGCGACGACGGGUAGCCGGCCUGAGAGGGCGACCGGCCACACUGGGACUGAGACACGGCCCAGACUCCUACGGGAGGCAGCAGUGGGGAAUAUUGCACAAUGGGCGGAAGCCUGAUGCAGCGACGCCGCGUGAGGGAUGACGGCCUUCGGGUUGUAAACCUCUUUCGACUCCGACGAAGCGAAAGUGACGGUAGGAGUAUAAGAAGCACCGGCCAACUACGUGCCAGCAGCCGCGGUAAUACGUAGGGUGCGAGCGUUGUCCGGAAUUACUGGGCGUAAAGAGCUUGUAGGCGGCUUGUCGCGUCGAUCGUGAAAACUCGGGGCUCAACCCCGAGCUUGCGGUCGAUACGGGCAGGCUUGAGUACUUCAGGGGAGACUGGAAUUCCUGGUGUAGCGGUGAAAUGCGCAGAUAUCAGGAGGAACACCGGUGGCGAAGGCGGGUCUCUGGGAAGUAACUGACGCUGAGAAGCGAAAGCGUGGGUAGCGAACAGGAUUAGAUACCCUGGUAGUCCACGCCGUAACGGUGGGUACUAGGUGUGGGUUUCCUUCCACGGGAUCCGUGCCGUAGCUAACGCAUUAAGUACCCCGCCUGGGGAGUACGGC
This 710-nucleotide ribosomal RNA is filed under the name Nocardia sp. KLBMP 1508. Its description in RNAcentral is "bacterial SSU rRNA". It matches the Rfam family "Bacterial small subunit ribosomal RNA", at positions 163 to 886 of the family's 1533-position model. The record is from RNAcentral. Lineage: Bacteria; Bacillati; Actinomycetota; Actinomycetes; Mycobacteriales; Nocardiaceae.